GUGUCGUGAGAUGUUGGGUUAAGUCCCGCAACGAGCGCAACCCCUGUGUCCUGUUGCCACUUCCGAGAGAUCGGGAAGCACUCUGGACAGACUGCCUCGCUUCAACGAGGAGGAAGGUGGGGAUGACGUCAAGUCAGUAUGGCCCUUACGGCCAGGGCUGCACACGUACUACAAUGCCCGGUACAAAGGGAAGCAAGAGCGUAAGCUGGAGCAAAUCCCCCAAAACCGGGCCCAGUUCAGAUUGUCGUCUGCAACUCGACGGCAUGAAGCUGGAAUCGCUAGUAAUGGCGCAUCAGCUACGGCGCCGUGAAUACGUUCCCAGGCCUUGUACACACCGCCCGUCACAUCAUGAAAGCCGGUUGCACCCGAAGCCGCCCCUCAAAAGGUGUCGAAGGUAUGACUGGUUAUUGGGAUGAAGUCGUAACAAGGUAGCCGUAGGGGAACCUGCGGCUGGAUCA
Molecule: ribosomal RNA, 458 nt
Filed under: uncultured bacterium
Lineage: Bacteria
Description: bacterial SSU rRNA
Rfam family: Bacterial small subunit ribosomal RNA
Source: RNAcentral